Molecule: transfer RNA, 70 nt
Filed under: Penicillium roqueforti FM164
Lineage: Eukaryota; Fungi; Ascomycota; Eurotiomycetes; Eurotiales; Aspergillaceae
Description: tRNA-Sup (TCA) (tRNA-Sup-TCA-1-1)
Source: RNAcentral
GCCCGGAUGGUCUAGUGGUACGUUCCACUUCAACUGUGCGAGGUCCCGCGUUCAAAUCGCGGUUCGGGCC